GGGUGGGAGGGGACGGAGCGGGCGGGACUUGAGAAAAGCAAAGUACCAGAGUGCGGUUGAGGGGAUCCCACCAACCCGGGAAUGGAGGGGGAGGGAGGCGUGGGCUUGGCGCGUUUUUGGUGCUUUGAAUGGAGAACUCCGUUUCCCAUGAUGCUUUGUUUCUUUCUCUUUAAUUGCACUUGGAAAUGGGAGAAGGUUUUCUUAUGGAAGAUAAUGACAUGAAGGGAAGAAGAGCUAAUCUGCCUACUUUGGUUUAAUGGAGAAAAUGGGUCCAUAAAUGUUUAAACAGAAGUAGAGCCCUUUGAAAUAGAUCAAAAUGUGACAUCUCUCAGCCAUCUGUGCAUUAUGUGAAGACUGUAAGGCUGUGUUUCUUAAACCAGCUCUAAAAUUUCUCUCAUUUUCUAUUAAUGGGGUGGGGGCUGGGGUUGCCAGUGUUAUUCGUGUUCAAUUCUGUGUAAAUAAUUGAGAUUAUUAA
RNAcentral lists this long non-coding RNA (475 nucleotides) under Homo sapiens (human). RNAcentral's name for it is "HSALNT0286552". The record is from RNAcentral. Lineage: Eukaryota; Metazoa; Chordata; Mammalia; Primates; Hominidae.